This 253-nucleotide ribosomal RNA is filed under the name uncultured Lachnospiraceae bacterium. RNAcentral's name for it is "partial 16S ribosomal RNA". It matches the Rfam family "Bacterial small subunit ribosomal RNA", at positions 524 to 776 of the family's 1533-position model. The record is from RNAcentral. Lineage: Bacteria; Bacillati; Bacillota; Clostridia; Lachnospirales; Lachnospiraceae.
UACGUAGGGGGCAAGCGUUAUCCGGAUUUACUGGGUGUAAAGGGAGCGUAGACGGCGAGGCAAGUCUGGAGUGAAAGCCCGGGGCUCAACCCCGGGACUGCUUUGGAAACUGCCUGGCUGGAGUGCUGGAGAGGUAAGUGGAAUUCCUAGUGUAGCGGUGAAAUGCGUAGAUAUCAGGAGGAACACCGGUGGCGAAGGCGGCUUACUGGACAGUGACUGACGUUGAGGCUCGAAAGCGUGGGUAUCGAACAGG